GCCAGGUGCAGUGGUGCACGCCUAUAAUCCCAGUGGCUGGGGAGGCUGAGGCAGGAGGAUCAUGAGUUCAAAGUCAGCCUCAGCAACUGUGAGGCGCUAAGCAACUCAGUGAGAACCUGUCUCUA
RNAcentral lists this small RNA (125 nucleotides) under Marmota monax (woodchuck). Lineage: Eukaryota; Metazoa; Chordata; Mammalia; Rodentia; Sciuridae. The record is from RNAcentral.